This is a non-coding RNA of Chelmon rostratus (copperband butterflyfish), 1123 nucleotides long. The record is from the annotation of a RefSeq genome assembly. Lineage: Eukaryota; Metazoa; Chordata; Actinopteri; Chaetodontiformes; Chaetodontidae.
UGUCCGCCGCAGGGGCUGAUGGGAGGUCUGAGGACCUGGUAGAAACCACGCCGCCCUCGUGCGACCUCACAGCUCGUCCUCGUUCGGCCUCGGCUGCAUCGGAGCGCCACUUCUCCCCAGGUUCACCAGAGGAAACACCACUGCACAAAAUGCUUCUCCUCCCAGCUGCUGCUCUGUGCUUUCUGUGUUCAGCGCUGGUUGCCAUGGCAGCAGAGCUGAUUCAGGAUGAUUUAACAUUGACCAGGAGAGUUGGUGAAAAAGUCUCCUUCAGCUGUCGAGGAACUCAACAGUGUGACUACGAUUAUGUAUUCUGGUUCCAGAAGAAAGACACAGAAACAUUCAGAAGGAUUCUUUAUAUUGACAGGAGGGGUUGUACCGUAGCUCACAGGUACAAUCAUCCUCAGAAAGAUGAUUUCUCAGCUGUGAAUAAACAGGACGGCUGUGAGUUGGAGAUCCAGACAGUUAAACUCCAUCAUUCAGCCUCCUACUACUGCGGCUGUGGGAAGAGUGAUCCCCACAGUGAGAAAUGAUCCCUGCAGCCUGAACAAAAACCAACAGAUGAACAGAUGUCAAACAGUGUUUGUGACAGGAAGUAAACCACAGCCCAGGUUCACAUAUUUCACCUCCAUCUCAGCAGAGUCACAAACAUCCUGAAGUGACACAUUUAUUAAAGAUGAGAUUUAUUCACAGUUUCAUCACAUAUUCCAGCAGGAUUUCUGUAGUUUAACACAGUGAAGACAAACGAGCAACACAGCAACACAACGAUGAAGCAAACAAGAGAAAACCAAGAGAAACAUGACGCAGAUAAAAGGCUCCAAUAACAAACAUCUGUCAUUUUUCAUUCAGUCAUUUUGGACAAUAAGACAACAAACUGCAGAGAAGAUAUUUGAGAUGAAGAUGUGAUAUAUGUGUUCAAUAAUAUAUUCUGGACAGGGCCACUGCCAAGCGGGGCCAGGAGGGCCGAGACCAACCGCUGGCCCCUUCAUUGCAUAUGUUUAGAAUGGCAUGGCACUCUUAAAUACUCAGUUCUGAUUGGUCAAUCCCCAAAAUUCAGCGGUGUUUAUUUCUUGACAGACGACCGCCUGCUCAGGAAUUCUUAACUGUCAUUGGCUACAGGGGCAAC